Molecule: ribosomal RNA, 118 nt
Filed under: Tinamus guttatus (white-throated tinamou)
Lineage: Eukaryota; Metazoa; Chordata; Aves; Tinamiformes; Tinamidae
Source: RNAcentral
GCCUUUGGCCAAACCACCCUGAAAGCACCUGAUCCCAUCCAAUUUCGGAAGCUAAGCGGGUUGGGCUUGCUUAGCACUUGGGUGGGAGACCGCCUAGGAAUAGUGGGUGCUGUAGGCA